CAUUGUUCUGAUCGCCUGCUGAUCAGCUAUUAGGAAAGAGAGACCAGCUGAGUGCUUUGGGCCUGAACAACUUCGUACACUGACUCUCGUUUCAACUUCUUCAGCCUCACUCUCUCCGAAGCAAUGAGUUAUACAAGUUACAUCUUGGCUUUUCAGCUCUGCCU
Molecule: regulatory RNA element, 164 nt
Organism: Oryctolagus cuniculus (rabbit)
Lineage: Eukaryota; Metazoa; Chordata; Mammalia; Lagomorpha; Leporidae
Rfam family: Interferon gamma 5' UTR regulatory element
About the family: This family represents a pseudoknot containing stem-loop structure found in the 5' UTR of interferon (IFN) gamma mRNA. This structure is thought to be involved in translational regulation and the pseudoknot has been found to activate PKR which is known to be a translational inhibitor.
Source: Rfam